Molecule: transfer RNA, 76 nt
Filed under: Candidatus Andersenbacteria bacterium CG10_big_fil_rev_8_21_14_0_10_54_11
Lineage: Bacteria; Candidatus Anderseniibacteriota
Description: tRNA-Val
Rfam family: tRNA
About the family: Transfer RNA (tRNA) molecules are approximately 80 nucleotides in length.
Source: RNAcentral
GCGCGUGUAGCUCAGUGGUUAGAGCAUCACAUUGACAUUGUGAGGGUCGAAGGUUCGAUUCCUUCCACGCGCACUA